UCUCCGCAAGGAGAUGAGUAAAGCGGCGAACGGGUGAGUAACACGUGGGCAACCUACCCUUCAGUUAGGAAUAACCCGUCGAAAGGCGGGCUAAUACCAGAUGAUGUCCCUUGAAGGCAUCUUCAGGGGACCAAAGGGGGCGAGCGCAAGCGGCUCCCGCUGAAGGAUGGGCCUGCGGCUGAUUAGCUAGUUGGUGGGGUAGCGGCCUACCAAGGCGACGAUCAGUAGCCGACCUGAGAGGGUGACCGGCCACACUGGGACUGAGACACGGCCCAGACUCCUACGGGAGGCAGCAGUGGGGAAUAUUGCGCAAUGGGCGAAAGCCUGACGCAGCGACGCCGCGUGGGUGAUGAAGGCCUUCGGG
This 364-nucleotide ribosomal RNA is filed under the name uncultured bacterium. RNAcentral describes it as "bacterial SSU rRNA". It matches the Rfam family "Bacterial small subunit ribosomal RNA", at positions 74 to 422 of the family's 1533-position model. The record is from RNAcentral.